This 478-nucleotide ribosomal RNA is filed under the name uncultured bacterium. RNAcentral describes it as "partial 16S ribosomal RNA". It matches the Rfam family "Bacterial small subunit ribosomal RNA", at positions 28 to 523 of the family's 1533-position model. The record is from RNAcentral.
GACGAACGCUGGCGGCGUGCUUAACACAUGCAAGUCGAACGGUAAGGCCCUUCGGGGUACACGAGUGGCGAACGGGUGAGUAACACGUGGGUGAUCUGCCCUGCACUUCGGGAUAAGCCUGGGAAACUGGGUCUAAUACCGGAUAGGACCACUGCCUGCAUGGGUGGUGGGGGAAAGCUUUUGCGGUGUGGGAUGGGCCCGGGGACUAUUGGCUUGUUGGUGGGGUGAUGGCCUACCAAGGCGAAGACGGGUAGCCGGCCUGAGAGGGUGACCGGCCACACUGGGACUGAGAUACGGCCCAGACUCCUACGGGAGGCAGCAGUGGGGAAUAUUGCACAAUGGGCGCAAGCCUGAUGCAGCGACGCCGCGUGAGGGAUGACGGCCUUCGGGUUGUAAACCUCUUUCAGCACCGACGAAGCGCAAGUGACGGUAGGUGCAGAAGAAGGACCGGCCAACUACGUGCCAGCAGCCGCGGUAA